AUGCAAGUCGAGGGGCAGCGCGGGAUAGCAAUAUUCUGGCGGCGACCGGCGGAAGGGUGCGUAACGCGUGAGCGACAUGCCCGUUGCCCGGGGACAACCGGUGGAAACGCCGACUAAUCCCCGGUGGGGUAUUGUGCCGCAUGGCACGACAUUGAAAGUUACGGCGGCGACGGAUUGGCUCGCGUCCGAUUAGCUUGUUGGCGGGGUAACGGCCCACCAAGGCUACGAUCGGUAGGGGUUCUGAGAGGAAGGCCCCCACAAUGGGACUGAGACACGGCCCAUACUCC
RNAcentral lists this ribosomal RNA (287 nucleotides) under uncultured bacterium. Its description in RNAcentral is "partial 16S ribosomal RNA". It matches the Rfam family "Bacterial small subunit ribosomal RNA", at positions 55 to 339 of the family's 1533-position model. The record is from RNAcentral.